This 62-nucleotide transfer RNA is filed under the name Myrmedobia distinguenda. RNAcentral describes it as "tRNA-Lys". Lineage: Eukaryota; Metazoa; Arthropoda; Insecta; Hemiptera; Microphysidae. The record is from RNAcentral.
CAUUAGAUGGCUGAGUUUAAGCAUAGGUCUCUUAAACCUCUCUACGGUAUACACCUCUAAUG